UACGUCCUACGGGAGAAAGCAGGGGAUCUUCGGACCUUGCGCUAAUAGAUGAGCCUAAGUCGGAUUAGCUAGUUGGUGGGGUAAAGGCCUACCAAGGCGACGAUCUGUAGCGGGUCUGAGAGGAUGAUCCGCCACACUGGGACUGAAACACGGCCCAGACUCCUACGGGAGGCAGCAGUGGGGAAUAUUGGACAAUGGGCGCAAGCCUGAUCCAGCCAUGCCGCGUGUGUGAAGAAGGCCUUAUGGUUGUAAAGCACUUUAAGCGAGGAGGAGGCUACUUUAGUUAAUACCUAGAGAUAGUGGACGUUACUCGCAAAAUAAGCACCGGCUAACUCUGUGCCAGCAGCCGCGGUAAUACAGAGGGUGCAAGCGUUAAUCGGAUUUACUGGGCGUAAAGCGCGCGUAGGCGGCUAAUUAAGUCAAAUGUGAAAUCCCCGAGCUUAACUUGGGAAUUGCAUUCGAUACUGGUUAGCUAGAGUGUGGGAGAGGAUGGUAGAAUUCCAGGUGUAGCGGUGAAAUGCGUAGAGAUCUGGAGGAAUACCGAUGGCGAAGGCAGCCAUCUGGCCUAACACUGACGCUGAGGUGCGAAAGCAUGGGGGAGCAAACAGGA
Molecule: ribosomal RNA, 610 nt
Filed under: uncultured Acinetobacter sp.
Lineage: Bacteria; Pseudomonadati; Pseudomonadota; Gammaproteobacteria; Moraxellales; Moraxellaceae
Description: bacterial SSU rRNA
Rfam family: Bacterial small subunit ribosomal RNA
Source: RNAcentral